CCUACGGGUGGCAGCAGUGGGGAAUAUUGGACAAUGGGGGGAACCCUGAUCCAGCCAUGCCGCGUGUGUGAAGAAGGCCCUCGGGUUGUAAAGCACUUUCAGUGAGGAAGAACGCCUGGUGGUUAAUACCCAUCAGGAAAGACAUCACUCACAGAAGAAGCACCGGCUGACUCCGUGCCAGCAGCCGCGGUAAUACGGAGGGUGCGAGCGUUAAUCGGAAUUACUGGGCGUAAAGCGCGCGUAGGUGGCUUGAUAAGCCGGUUGUGAAAGCCCCGGGCUCAACCUGGGAACGGCAUCCGGAACUGUCAAGCUAGAGUGCAGGAGAGGAAGGUAGAAUUCCCGGUGUAGCGGUGAAAUGCGUAGAGAUCGGGAGGAAUACCAGUGGCGAAGGCGGCCUUCUGGACUGACACUGACACUGAGGUGCGAAAGCGUGGGUAGCAAACAGGAUUAGAUACCCGAGUAGUC
Molecule: ribosomal RNA, 465 nt
Filed under: Vreelandella stevensii
Lineage: Bacteria; Pseudomonadati; Pseudomonadota; Gammaproteobacteria; Oceanospirillales; Halomonadaceae
Description: partial 16S ribosomal RNA
Rfam family: Bacterial small subunit ribosomal RNA
Source: RNAcentral